UGGCCGCGGUAUUUUGACCGUGCGAAGGUAGCAUAAUCAAUAGUCCAUUAAUUGUGGUCUGGAAUGAAGGGUUUGACGAUUAUUAUCUUUCUUAAUAUCAAGGAUGAAUUUUAAUUAUUAGUGAAAAUGCUAAUAUGUUUAAGGGGGACGAGAAGACCCUGUGGAGUUUUAUAUUUAAGUACUAAUCUUAGUAAUUAAAGUAUUUAUUAUAUUUUACUGGGGCGGUAAUAAAUUUAUCAUUUAUAAUUAUGGCUUGAUAAAAGGGUUUUGAUCCAUUAAUAUUGAUUAUUAGAUUAAAUUACCCCAGGGAUAACAGCGUAAUUUUAUUUCAGAGUUCUUAUCGACAAUAAAGUUUACGACCUCGAUGUUGGAUUAGGAUUCCCUUACGGCGCAGAAGUUUAAUAGGGUGGUCUGUUCGACCAUUAUACUCCUACA
Molecule: ribosomal RNA, 435 nt
Filed under: Digitipes barnabasi
Lineage: Eukaryota; Metazoa; Arthropoda; Chilopoda; Scolopendromorpha; Scolopendridae
Description: partial 16S ribosomal RNA
Rfam family: Bacterial large subunit ribosomal RNA
Source: RNAcentral